UUUAAAAGCAUUCCUUGUUUCUCCGUCUCUCUCAUAACACACUACAUAUCUCUCUCUCUUCUUCAUAACAACCAACCGGUACCAGAACAUCAUUUCCGGCCACAAUCAACAUCAUUUCCAGCUACCUGGAACCUAUCUAAAUCCACUGACUAAAAAACGCACACGUAAGUCAAAAAAUCCAGCCUGAACCCUAGCCGUAUUCAGAUUUCAGAUCCAGUCUUGUGGAUUCAGAUCCGCCGUUAUCCUGGUCUUUUAAUUCAGACCCGGUCUUGUGGAUUUCGGAUAUAGUGGAGGUUUCUGGUGGUGGUGGUGUUUUCCGGGUACGGUGGAGGCUUCUGGUGGUGGGGGUUGUGGAUUUAACCGGAGAUUUGGUGGUGGUGCGUAGUGGUAGCAGCGGCAAUUGUAAGAGGAAGGGUUUUCAAAUUUUGAGAGGGUUUAAAAGUUCCAGAUUGUAGAAUAGUUAGUUGUGGUGGUUUGAUGUAGGUUGUUUGCUGGUGUUGAUGAUUGGUGUUAUUUGUAUGGGUUGCAGAUCUGCGAAGCAACUAGGUUGAGGAUCUGCGAAGGGUUAGGGGCGAUGGGUGUGACGUGGUGAUGGCCCGACUGGUGAACAGUGGCCGGAGUGGUGGUGGUGACGAGAUUUGAUGAUGACGGGCAACUGGGUUGCAGAUCCGUGAAUGAUGAGUGGUGGUGGUGGUGACAAGAUUUGCGAUGUGUUUGUGAAGACGGUGGCAAGAUGAGGUGGUGGCAGCAGGAUGAGCUGGUGGUGGUAGGAUGUGGUGGUUAAGGUUUAGGGUUUGUAAAUUGGGGAAGAUGAUGUGUAUGUACAAGGUUUUAUUUAUUAAACAUUUAAAUAAAAGCAUGAAUAGACCACAAUAC
This 876-nucleotide long non-coding RNA is filed under the name Helianthus annuus (common sunflower). RNAcentral describes it as "hypothetical non coding rna". Lineage: Eukaryota; Viridiplantae; Streptophyta; Magnoliopsida; Asterales; Asteraceae. The record is from RNAcentral.